RNAcentral lists this ribosomal RNA (497 nucleotides) under uncultured bacterium. RNAcentral's name for it is "partial 16S ribosomal RNA". It matches the Rfam family "Bacterial small subunit ribosomal RNA", at positions 36 to 507 of the family's 1533-position model. The record is from RNAcentral.
UCUUCCCUCUGGCGGCGUGCCUAAUACAUGCAAGUCGAGCGAACGGACGAGAAGAUUGCUUCUCUGAUGUUAGCGGCGGACGGGUGAGUAACACGUGGAUAACCUACCUAUAAGACUGGGAUAACUUCGGGAAACCGUAGCUAAUACCGGAUAAUAUUUUGAACCGCAUGGUUCAAAGGUGGAAGACGGUCUUGCUGUCACUUAUAGAUGGAUCCGCGCUGCAUUAGCUAGUUGGUAAGGUAACGGCUUACCAAGGCAACGAUGCAUAGCCGACCUGAGAGGGUGAUCGGCCACACUGGAACUGAGACACGGUCCAGACUCCGACGGGAGGCAGCAGUAGGGAAUCUUCCGCAAUGGGCGAAAGCCUGACGGAGCAACGCCGCGUGAGUGAUGAAGGUCUUCGGAUCGUAAAACUCUGUUAUUAGGGAAGAACAUAUGUGUAAGUAACUGUGCACAUCUUGACGGUACCUAAUCAGAAAGCCACGGCUAACUACGUG